RNAcentral lists this ribosomal RNA (253 nucleotides) under uncultured bacterium. RNAcentral's name for it is "partial 16S ribosomal RNA". It matches the Rfam family "Bacterial small subunit ribosomal RNA", at positions 524 to 776 of the family's 1533-position model. The record is from RNAcentral.
UACGAAGGGGGCUAGCGUUGUUCGGAAUUACUGGGCGUAAAGCGCGCGCAGGCGGUCUUCCAAGUCAGUGGUGAAAGCCCGGAGCUCAACUCCGGAACUGCCAUUGAAACUGUUGGACUUGAGUACGAGAGAGGUGAGUGGAAUUCCCAGUGUAGAGGUGAAAUUCGUAGAUAUCGGGAGGAACACCUGUGGCGAAAGCGGCUCACUGGACCAUAACUGACGCUGAUGCACGAAAGCUGGGGGAGCAAACAGG